AAAAAAGACAAACACUGAUUUCCGUGCCAAACGUUUGACCGUCCGUCUUAUUUGAAAAAAAUAUGAAAAAAAUUAAAAAGACAAGUCACGCAUAAAAUAUAAAUAAUAUUUUAUCAUCUAACAACAAUUAAAAUAUGAAUUAUAAGAAAAUUCAUAUAAGACGGACAAUUAAAAUUAGACACGAAAACCUAGAGUUUACUUUUUU
Molecule: microRNA precursor, 205 nt
Organism: Oryza sativa Indica Group (long-grained rice)
Lineage: Eukaryota; Viridiplantae; Streptophyta; Magnoliopsida; Poales; Poaceae
Rfam family: MIR812 microRNA precursor family
Source: Rfam